UGGCUAUUCACAGGUGCGGUCAUAGCAAUC
RNAcentral lists this non-coding RNA (30 nucleotides) under Homo sapiens (human). Lineage: Eukaryota; Metazoa; Chordata; Mammalia; Primates; Hominidae. The record is from RNAcentral.